This is a long non-coding RNA of Etheostoma cragini (Arkansas darter), 114 nucleotides long. RefSeq lists it as uncharacterized. The transcript is spliced from 3 exons. The record is from RefSeq and is a predicted model, not a curated record. NCBI's taxonomy places the organism in Eukaryota, Metazoa, Chordata, Actinopteri, Perciformes, Percidae.
UAUUGUUUGACAGUACUUUCAGUCAAAUGAAGGCAAUUCAAGCCAAAGUACAUGUUCAAUUUGCAAUGCCGAUUUGUCUCGUGGUGGCAAGGACCCUAAACAAUACACAACAGA